UUUAUAAGAUUUAAGGGAUCAAUUGCCCGUCAUUCUCUAUGAGACAAGUCGAAACAAAGUAGGUUUAUUGGAAAGUAGGCCUAAGAGCGAUUUGUUCAGUUACGUUGAAUUGUUCCUUUGUUGGCGCUUUUUUAGUAAAUUUAUUUAUAAAAUAAGGAAAGAAAUUAUUUUAUUUACCUUUUGUAUCAGGGUUAAUUAAAAGUAAUAUUUAUUUAAAUUUCUCGAGUCAGGUAUGAGCUAAGUAGUAUAUUUCUGUUAAAAUAUGAUUAUUUAUUAUAUUAGUAAUGACAUGUUUUCGUAUUUUGUGAUAUCUAGUUAUCUAAUUAAAUUUUUAUAAAUAUUAGUCCUAGACUAAUAGGAUAGAAGAGUUAAUUUUUUUAUUAUAUAAGGAAGGUUUAUUGAGAAAGUUAGUUAGGCUUAAUAUUAGCUAUAUUUAUAUAUUUUUAUAAAUAAUCUUUUAUUUGUAAGUAUAGUCUAGUUAUGCUUAGGUUUAUAAAAAUAACAUAAAAUUUUGUUUAAUAAUGAUUAAAUUAGUAUUUAUGUGUUGUUAAAGAUCUAACUCGAUAAUUGUAUGAAUGUUUAACAAAAACAUUUCUUUUAGUUUAUUUAAGGUAAGGCCUGCCCAGUGAAUUUUUAACGGCUGCGGUAUUUUAACUGUACUAAGGUAGCAUAAUAAUUUGUUUUUUAAUUGAAAACUGGGAUGAACGGUUUUACAUAUAAUUUAUUUGAUCUUUUUAUUGUAGUAAUUUAUAUUUUGAAUAAAAAUAUUUAAAUUAUAUAAAGGGACGAUAAGACCCUAAAAGCUUUUUUAUUUAGAUCUCAUUAAUUUUGAUUUUUAACGAUAAAUUUAGUUGGGGUAACGUAAGUAUAAGUUUUAUUUUUAACUGUGACGUGUAUGAGCGGCCUGUAGAUCUUUUAUAUAAAGAUAAUUAGAGGUAGUUACUUUAGGGAUAACAGCGUAAUAAUUUUAGAGAGGCCUUAUUAAUAAAGUUGAUUACGACCUCGAUGUUGAAUUAAAAUAUCUAUUUAUUGUAGCCGGUAAAUAAGAGGGUUUGUUCAACCUUUAAUUUUUUACAUGAUUUGAGUUCAA
This 1090-nucleotide ribosomal RNA is filed under the name Niphargus cf. aquilex CEM-2013. RNAcentral describes it as "partial 16S ribosomal RNA". The record is from RNAcentral. Lineage: Eukaryota; Metazoa; Arthropoda; Malacostraca; Amphipoda; Niphargidae.